CCUGGUGGAGCAGAUGGUAAAGCAUCUGCCUACAAUGCAGGAGACCGGGGUUCUAUCCCUGGGUCAGGA
Molecule: transfer RNA, 69 nt
Filed under: Bos taurus (domestic cattle)
Lineage: Eukaryota; Metazoa; Chordata; Mammalia; Artiodactyla; Bovidae
Also listed under: 1 other name
Rfam family: tRNA
About the family: Transfer RNA (tRNA) molecules are approximately 80 nucleotides in length. Their secondary structure includes four short double-helical elements and three loops (D, anti-codon, and T loops). Further hydrogen bonds mediate the characteristic L-shaped molecular structure. tRNAs have two regions of fundamental functional importance: the anti-codon, which is responsible for specific mRNA codon recognition, and the 3' end, to which the tRNAs corresponding amino acid is attached (by aminoacyl-tRNA synthetases). tRNAs cope with the degeneracy of the genetic code in two manners: having more than one tRNA (with a specific anti-codon) for a particular amino acid; and 'wobble' base-pairing, i.e. permitting non-standard base-pairing at the 3rd anti-codon position.
Source: Rfam by way of RNAcentral